Molecule: transfer RNA, 69 nt
Filed under: Ictidomys tridecemlineatus (thirteen-lined ground squirrel)
Lineage: Eukaryota; Metazoa; Chordata; Mammalia; Rodentia; Sciuridae
Description: Spermophilus tridecemlineatus (thirteen-lined ground squirrel) tRNA
Rfam family: tRNA
About the family: Transfer RNA (tRNA) molecules are approximately 80 nucleotides in length. Their secondary structure includes four short double-helical elements and three loops (D, anti-codon, and T loops).
Source: Rfam by way of RNAcentral
GGGACUGGGGCUCAGCGGUAGAGCGCUUACCUAGAAUGUGUGAGGCCCUGGGUUCAAACCUCAGCACCA